This 451-nucleotide ribosomal RNA is filed under the name uncultured bacterium. RNAcentral's name for it is "bacterial SSU rRNA". It matches the Rfam family "Bacterial small subunit ribosomal RNA", at positions 29 to 524 of the family's 1533-position model. The record is from RNAcentral.
AACGAACGCUGGCGGCAUGCCUAACACAUGCAAGUCGAACGAGACCUUCGGGUCUAGUGGCGCACGGGUGCGUAACGCGUGGGAAUCUGCCCUUGGGUUCGGAAUAACAGUUAGAAAUGACUGCUAAUACCGGAUAAUGUCUUCGGACCAAAGAUUUAUCGCCCAGGGAUGAGCCCGCGUAGGAUUAGCUAGUUGGUGAGGUAAAGGCUCACCAAGGCGACGAUCCUUAGCUGGUCUGAGAGGAUGAUCAGCCACACUGGGACUGAGACACGGCCCAGACUCCUACGGGAGGCAGCAGUGGGGGAUAUUGGACAAUGGGCGAAAGCCUGAUCCAGCAAUGCCGCGUGAGUGAUGAAGGCCUUAGGGUUGUAAAGCUCUUUUACCCGGGAUGAUAAUGACAGUACCGGGAGAAUAAGCCCCCGGCUAACUCCGUGCCAGCAGCCGCGGUAAU